AUUUGUAAUUGUUUAAUCUUAGCAAUGUUCGAACGUUAUCUGGUAGUUUUACUCAUGCAAGUCUUAAAAAUAGAAAUAUUUUUAGGGCGCGCGGGCGAGGAUUAAGAAAUAGAUACCCUUGAAGAUUGAAUCUUCUUGGAUUUGUUUCUUAUUCUGUAGGUAGUUGUUGUGGUAAUGGCGCAACAAGCCGUUGACAGAUAGAAAUGAGCGAAAGCUUCUAUUUCCGCAAUUGGUUUUAAUAGACCGAUCGGUCAGCAUACUGGCCGCUGCAGAGGAGAAUAUUGGGCAAUGCUCGAAAGAGUGACCCAGCUAACCAGAACUCGAAGUAUAGUAGAGUGUCGUAAGGGAGGAUGAUGACGUUACCUUACUAUAAGUCCAAUCUAAGUCUCGUGCCAGCAGACGCGGUUAUACGAACUGGGCAAACGUUGAAUAAAUUAAUAGGUUUUAAGGAUCUGUAGGUGGCAGGGAAAUUAUUUCCUAGCUAGAAUCUUAUAGAGGAUAGUAGAAUGCUAGAAGUAGGGAUGAUAUCCGUUGAGAUCUAGUGGAAUACUAAUGGCGAAAGCAACUAUCCAGGUAAAGAUUGACGCUGAGAGAUGAAAGUUUGGGGAUCAAAACAGAUUAGCUACCUGAGUAGUCCAAACCGUAAACGAUUUACACUUAUUCUUUGGUUAAAUAUAGAAAAUCAGAGGAAAAGCGAAAGGCUGUAUGUGUAACACCUUGUUAGUACUGUCUCAAGACUGAAAGCAAAAAGAUUAGACCAUCCUUAAGAACCGGUGUGGAGCAUGUUGUUUAAUACGACAAUACGCGUAGAACCUUACCUCUCCUUGUAUGUUUUAGUAAUUUAGAAAUAAAUUACUAAUUCACAGGUGUUGCAUGGCUGUCGGCAGUUCGUGUCGUAAGAUGUUAGGUUAAGUCCGAAAACGAACGCAACCCUUUGCCUAGGUGUUUACCCUAGAUUAUUACUUCGAUAGGAAGAAUGAAAGAGGAAUACGACAAGCCUUCAUGACCCUUAUGGAGUAUGGGCUACAGACGUGCUACUUGAAUCUUACAAUAAGAUGCAAAAUCGUGAGAUUUAGCAAAUCUAUGAAAUAAGAUCGAAUAAGGAUUGUAGACUGAAAUUCGUCUACAUGAAUCAGGAAUACCGAGUAAUCGUCUAUUAGUACGGGACGGUGAACCUUUCUAUUAAGGAGAUACUAACUGUCUAUCACAUCUUGGUUUUAAUUUGAAGUAGAACCUUCCUGAAACGAAAGUUUCUGGUUGGGAUAUUAGAAUUGGAACUGAGGUGAAGUUAUAGCAAGGUAGCCGUAAGGGAACUUGCGGCUGAUUGAUAAUAAAU
RNAcentral lists this ribosomal RNA (1336 nucleotides) under Malassezia slooffiae. RNAcentral describes it as "SSU rRNA". It matches the Rfam family "Bacterial small subunit ribosomal RNA". Lineage: Eukaryota; Fungi; Basidiomycota; Malasseziomycetes; Malasseziales; Malasseziaceae. The record is from RNAcentral.